Long non-coding RNA from Acanthopagrus latus (yellowfin seabream), 443 nucleotides. RefSeq lists it as uncharacterized. The record is from RefSeq and is a predicted model, not a curated record. NCBI's taxonomy places the organism in Eukaryota, Metazoa, Chordata, Actinopteri, Spariformes, Sparidae. The transcript is spliced from 3 exons.
AUUCAGGACGAACUUCAACCCAAACCAGCAAAAAAUAAUAGUUGGAUUUUUUUGUAUGCAGAGUGAGAAAACGUCGUCCCACUCUUUAUCUAAUUGUAGCCGGUAUGAAAUCUGCAUACCAGCCCGAACAGUCUGCUGCCUUUCUUCAACUUAGUCUUUGAAAAAUGAUCCCUCGCUGGGUCAAGAUGGAAGCUGGAUCCAUUACUGCGACACAGUGAGCAAAGGGGAAAUCUGCCUGAGAGACGUGCCAUGUUCCAGACUCAUCAGAGCAGAACACAAGAGGGAAAUAGACGCUGUGUUCUCCAUUUGUGUGGCUGCUUAGAAACUGGAAAAACACAAAAGACCCUGUAGAGACAGAGUAUUGAUCUUUGGAGACUUUGGAAACGUGGCUGUGCAAGAUGGCGGUAUAUUGAUAUACAUAAAUGAAAACAUGGUUAUGACUA